RNAcentral lists this ribosomal RNA (402 nucleotides) under uncultured bacterium. RNAcentral's name for it is "bacterial SSU rRNA". It matches the Rfam family "Bacterial small subunit ribosomal RNA", at positions 355 to 774 of the family's 1533-position model. The record is from RNAcentral.
UGGGGAAUUUUGGACAAUGGGCGCAAGCCUGACCCAGCAACGCCGCGUGAAGGAUGAAGUAUUUCGGUAUGUAAACUUCGAAAGAAUAGGAAGAAUUAAUGACGGUACUAUUUAUAAGGUCCGGCUAACUACGUGCCAGCAGCCGCGGUAAUACGUAGGGACCAAGCGUUGUUCGGAUUUACUGGGCGUAAAGGGCGCGUAGGCGGCAAUUCAAGUCAGCUGUGAAAUCUCUGGGCUUAACCCGGAACGGCCAGCUGAUACUGCUUUGCUAGAGUGCGGAAGGGGCAAUCGGAAUUCUUGGUGUAGCGGUAAAAUGCGUAGAUAUCAAGAGGAACACCUGAGGUGAAGACGGGUUGCUGGGCCGACACUGACGCUGAGGCGCGAAAGCCAGGGGAGCAAACG